RNAcentral lists this ribosomal RNA (321 nucleotides) under Triticum aestivum (bread wheat). RNAcentral's name for it is "partial small subunit ribosomal RNA". The record is from RNAcentral. Lineage: Eukaryota; Viridiplantae; Streptophyta; Magnoliopsida; Poales; Poaceae.
AUGAGGGACUAUGAGAAAUCCUCACUACGGGGAUAUCUAACUGAAGCACUACAUAGUGCCCGUUCGGAGCCCCUCCGCUCCACAACUCUGCCACGGAGCGGAGCGGGCUGCAGUUCAAAUUUCCAGAGCGGUGGAAUAGGUGCUCCUGCUCCGCCAGGCUGCAGUUCAAAUUUCCAGAGCGGUGGAAUAGGUGCUCCUGCUCCGCCAGAUUCGUGGAGCUGGUGGAUUACCAAACAGGCCCAUAAUAUACGGGCUGUUUCAGUUGUAAUUGUGACUGCAAAUUGUAUGGAAACACAUGAAUUAGUUAUGUUCUCUGAAUGA